UACGGGGGGGGCAAGCGUUGUUCGGAAUUACUGGGCGUAAAGGGUUAGUAGGUGGCCAACUAAGUCAGACGUGAAAUCCCUCAGCUUAACUGGGGAACUGCGUCUGAGACUGAUUGGCUCGAGGACAGGAGAGGAACGCGGAAUUCCAGGUGUAGCGGUGAAAUGCGUAGAUAUCUGGAGGAACACCGGUGGCGAAGGCGGCGUUCUGGACUGUUUCUGACACUGACGCUGAUGCGCGAAAGCCAGGGGAGCGAACGGG
Molecule: ribosomal RNA, 259 nt
Filed under: uncultured bacterium
Lineage: Bacteria
Description: partial 16S ribosomal RNA
Rfam family: Bacterial small subunit ribosomal RNA
Source: RNAcentral